GGAUUUAGGAGUAGUGGUGAUGUGGCAUCAGAAAUUGGGAUUUAGGGAUAAAUGAGAUCAGACAUCUGAAAUUGGGAGUUAGUGAUUUCAAAUUGAAAUUGGGGAUUUCUUAUACUCGUUGCGAAAGGAAGCAAAAGACGAUUACCCAUUUCAUUGUUGGAGAACACGAAGACAGUCCAGGCUAUUGUUGACGCGAACAGAGGUAAGGUAUGUCGUUUUCAUUGUUGUAAUGUAUAAAUGUGUUUUUCCUUUUACGAGCAUGUGCGAUAUUUGGGGUUUUCUAUGUCUAUAUGUAUUGAUAAUGAUUUGUGGUCCCAUUUUGCAUGUUGAGUGGUUAGAUUGUACUUUAGAGUUUGUGGUCCCAUUUUGCAUGAUGAGCUGUAGUGGUCCCCUGUCUCUUAGUGUUGGGUUAGUGAGGUUGUAAGUUUGUUCCCUGUCCCCCUGUGUCGGUCUGAGUGUUUAUUUAGAGAGUGAGUGCCCCAUUUAGUGGUAUCAUUGAAAUAGAAAUAAUAGUUGUCUCCCCCCAUAAUGUACAAGUUUAAAAGAAUGUUUUUGAUAUG
Molecule: long non-coding RNA, 560 nt
Filed under: Vigna radiata
Lineage: Eukaryota; Viridiplantae; Streptophyta; Magnoliopsida; Fabales; Fabaceae
Description: long non-coding RNA (VRAD_LNC008550)
Source: RNAcentral